GAACUUUCCAGAGAUGGAUUGGUGCCUUCGGGAACUGUGAGACAGGUGCUGCAUGGCUGUCGUCAGCUCGUGUUGUGAAAUGUUGGGUUAAGUCCCGCAACGAGCGCAACCCUUAUCCUUUGUUGCCAGCGAUUAGGUCGGGAACUCAAAGGAGACUGCCAGUGAUAAACUGGAGGAAGGUGGGGAUGACGUCAAGUCAUCAUGGCCCUUACGACCAGGGCUACACACGUGCUACAAUGGCGCAUACAAAGAGAAGCGACCUCGCGAGAGUAAGCGGACCUCAUAAAGUGCGUCGUAGUCCGGAUUGGAGUCUGCAACUCGACUCCAUGAAGUCGGAAUCGCUAGUAAUCGUGGAUCAGAAUGCCACGGUGAAUACGUUCCCGGGCCUUGUACACACCGCCCGUCACACCAUGGGAGUGGGUUGCAAAAGAAGUAGGUAGCUUAACCUUCGGGAGGGCGCUUACCACUUUGUGAUUCAUGACUGGGGUGAAGUCGUAACAAGGUAACCGUAGGGGAACCUGCGGUUGGAUCACCUCCUUA
Molecule: ribosomal RNA, 540 nt
Filed under: Salmonella enterica
Lineage: Bacteria; Pseudomonadati; Pseudomonadota; Gammaproteobacteria; Enterobacterales; Enterobacteriaceae
Description: bacterial SSU rRNA
Rfam family: Bacterial small subunit ribosomal RNA
Source: RNAcentral